This 67-nucleotide transfer RNA is filed under the name Loxodonta africana (African savanna elephant). It matches the Rfam family "tRNA". From Rfam's summary of the family: Transfer RNA (tRNA) molecules are approximately 80 nucleotides in length. The record is from Rfam by way of RNAcentral. Lineage: Eukaryota; Metazoa; Chordata; Mammalia; Proboscidea; Elephantidae.
GUGGUUGUGAUUGUUAAGCACUUGGUUGCUAACCAAGAGGUUGGUGGUUCAAACCUACCCAGCUGCU